GCGCGCGUAGGCGGUUUCUUAAGUCUGAUGUGAAAGCCCCCGGCUCAACCGGGGAGGGUCAUUGGAAACUGGGAGACUUGAGUGCAGAAGAGGAGAGUGGAAUUCCAUGUGUAGCGGUGAAAUGCGCAGAGAUAUGGAGGAACACCAGUGGCGAAGGCGGCUCUCUGGUCUGUAACUGACGCUGAGGUGCGAAAGCGUGGGGAUCAAACAGGAUUAGAUACCCUGGUAGUCCACGCCGUAAACGAUGAGUGCUAAGUGUUGGGGGGUUUCCGCCCCUCAGUGCUGCAGCUAACGCAU
Molecule: ribosomal RNA, 297 nt
Filed under: Macrococcus sp.
Lineage: Bacteria; Bacillati; Bacillota; Bacilli; Caryophanales; Staphylococcaceae
Description: partial 16S ribosomal RNA
Rfam family: Bacterial small subunit ribosomal RNA
Source: RNAcentral